RNAcentral lists this long non-coding RNA (1307 nucleotides) under Rattus norvegicus (Norway rat). Its description in RNAcentral is "long non-coding RNA NONRATT013642". The record is from RNAcentral. Lineage: Eukaryota; Metazoa; Chordata; Mammalia; Rodentia; Muridae.
GUGAAAGCUAUAAACAAGUUAGGGUCUGACUGACAUGUUGGAGAUCUAAGUCUAUUGGGUUAAGAAAAAUAAAGUCUUAUCUUCCCCAACAGACUCCAUUUUGAGGACGAAGGAUGGAUGACUCUGCACCUGGGUGGAUACAUAAAGGACCCCCUUUGCCUGGUAAUUCCCACGCAGCACAGACUGAUGCAUAAUGGUUUAUUCUUGGAUGUUGGAAGAGUCUCAUAUUAUGCAUUUGUUGGGGGUGUACUAGGACAGGAGGGACUCAUGAGUUUAUUAAAAUCAUAUAAAGAAACCCAAGCCUGAGAAAUUAUCAGGCAUAUUAGACCAAGGAAAGGGUAUCUAGAUCCCUCCCUGAACUCUAUAAAGAGGUUAACACCUAGUGAUAGCGAUGGCUCUUGUCAUCUGACCACCCAGGAUGUAUAUCAGGCAUGGGAGUCAAGAGACUGACAGGCAGAGAGGACUGACUGACUGUCUUAGGAGCUCCAUUUCAGCUGUAGUUCAUUCUUGACUAUUGACAUGGCUUACUUAAUUGGCCUUCCUGUUUGCUCACUUACACCUGUAAUCCAUCCAUCUGCCUGUUUAUCCAUCCAUCUGGAUGGUCCUAGCACCUUUGCCCUUGUAGCUGGACUCUGCAACAGCAAUGAAGUGCCUCUGAAGAGACAUCUGCUUGUUAUCUCAUCCCUAGAGACUCUAUUUAUUUUCUAUCAGCUUCUCAGCUUUGUCCUUCUAGGCCAAUCCAAAGCACCUCAAAUCCCCUUGCUUCUUAAAGACUUAAAGGCCCACCAACAUGUAAGAUUCCAGGAAAGUGGUUCUAGGGGCCACUCCCCCAAUUAUGUUUGGGGUAGCAGAGGUGAAAUAUAGAUUUUAAAAGAUGUUAAUUCAGGAACAUUGGAGGGGAGUGUGUACUAGCUAUGGGGAGGUUUAGAAGUGUCCAGUCAUUGUGCUAGUCAAGGCAUAUCAAAAUUAGCUGGUGUGUCUGUGUGUCUGUGUGUCUGUGUGUGUGUUUGUAUGUGUGUGUCUCUCUGUGUGUGUAUGUGUCUGUGUCUGUGUAUGUGUAUGUGUGUGUGUAUGUGUGUGCGCGUCUGUGUGUGUGUGUGCACAUGCACGUCUUUCAUUCAUGAUUCCAUAGCCCUUGGGAAAAUACAGCAUGUGAGUGACCUGCCAGGAACCAAAGGAUAUCAACUAUUGACCAUUAGUGUGUUACGUGGCCAAGGCCAUCUAGGAAAGUGGGAAUAUCUGGCUUCUAAUGAAAGUUCCAUACCUUGUGAACCUAUUUUUAAUAAACUCUGACAUCAUAGAAAAUC